Non-coding RNA from Sinorhizobium saheli, 163 nucleotides. The record is from Rfam. NCBI's taxonomy places the organism in Bacteria, Pseudomonadati, Pseudomonadota, Alphaproteobacteria, Hyphomicrobiales, Rhizobiaceae.
GUCGCCGCGCGGAGGGGUCUGCUGUAAGCAAAGCGCCGGCCUGACGAACAGGACGCGCAUAGGAGGCGUCCGCUUCCGGGCGAGGGGGCCCAAAGACCCGAAGCCCGGUAUCACCGGAAGGUGCGGCCGAAGAUGCGCCGGGUAUGCCGGUAGAGAUAGUCGC